Long non-coding RNA from Helianthus annuus (common sunflower), 407 nucleotides. RefSeq lists it as uncharacterized. NCBI's taxonomy places the organism in Eukaryota, Viridiplantae, Streptophyta, Magnoliopsida, Asterales, Asteraceae. The transcript has 3 exons. The record is from RefSeq and is a predicted model, not a curated record.
GUCAACUUAAUAUUCCUCACAAUUCUUAUUUGAGCGGCAAUAUACAUCGAUUGGAGAAGCUUCUCACAUACGCUUCUUUUAUAGUCUCUCUCUCUCAUUCUCUCAUACUGGGAUUAGGGUUUUUUUGUUUCCAUUGUUCCUCUUCAUCACAUAAUCCCUCAUUCGCAUUCUGUUUGGAGAAAACCUAGCCGCAGACCAUGGAUUCUCAUCUUCAUCUUUAAGUAAACUGAAAGAAAGGGGAACUCGCCAAAUUUGAAGCCAUCGACUGUGGAAAACCACUCGAUGAAGCAACAUAGUUUUGGAGCGUUUUGGGCUUUUGUCAAACGUGUCAAGGCCGGUUAAGCCAGUCAGCACGUUAAUUGAGGAGUUGCUUGUGCUGAAAAUAUACAAAAUGGAGAUUGCUGAAG